AUUGAACGCUGGCGGCAGGCCUAACACAUGCAAGUCGAGCGGUAGAGAGAAGCUUGCUUCUCUUGAGAGCGGCGGACGGGUGAGUAAUACCUAGGAAUCUGCCUGGUAGUGGGGGAUAACGUCCGGAAACGGACGCUAAUACCGCAUACGUCCUACGGGAGAAAGCAGGGGACCUUCGGGCCUUGCGCUAUCAGAUGAGC
RNAcentral lists this ribosomal RNA (200 nucleotides) under uncultured bacterium. Its description in RNAcentral is "partial 16S ribosomal RNA". It matches the Rfam family "Bacterial small subunit ribosomal RNA", at positions 30 to 230 of the family's 1533-position model. The record is from RNAcentral.